CAGGAAUCAUGGUAAUUGUCUUGCCCAAAGUAUCUUCCUUUAAUAUGGCAGAAAUAUUAGUGUGAAAGACAGAGGACUCUAAUCAGCAGGAGCAGGAAAUUUAAGAAAAACAGCAAAAGCAGACAUGAAGCGGAGGAACCACAGAGGAGCCAAAUUACAAGCAGUACCUGAAACACAUUCAUCACAGUCAAAAGGAAGUGAAGAGACACAGAAGGGAAGCAAGAUACUGAGAUGCUGCCAAGUAUCCCAGAGUCCAUGAUGGAGUAGAGAUGAAACAAUAGACCCAGGUCAUUCCUCUGCUGGAGGUUCUGAGGCAAGCAGUAGUGCUCUGCAGAUGAACAUUCAUGACAACUUGCCUUUCAACUGGAGGUGUGUGACAG
Molecule: long non-coding RNA, 380 nt
Filed under: Pan troglodytes (chimpanzee)
Lineage: Eukaryota; Metazoa; Chordata; Mammalia; Primates; Hominidae
Description: long non-coding RNA NONPTRT015287
Source: RNAcentral